AUCCGAUUGACGAGUUCCAAAUAGAACGAAACGCGCGUCCUAAAU
Molecule: non-coding RNA, 45 nt
Organism: Schistosoma rodhaini
Lineage: Eukaryota; Metazoa; Platyhelminthes; Trematoda; Strigeidida; Schistosomatidae
Source: Rfam